Paramuricea clavata is the source of this 190-nucleotide non-coding RNA. NCBI's taxonomy places the organism in Eukaryota, Metazoa, Cnidaria, Anthozoa, Malacalcyonacea, Plexauridae. The record is from the annotation of a GenBank genome assembly.
UGUAACAACCUUGUCGAAAUUAUCAGACUUGUUGCAAGGUUGUUCUGACAAGUCCGUUACAUGCUUAAUAUAGCAAGAUUGUUACAACCUUGUGUUGACAAUCUUGUAACAUCCUUGUUAUAUCAUAGCUGUAACAAACUUGUUAGCACAGUCUUGUAACAAGGCUGAUGAUGCCAUCAAGCUUGUUACA